This 117-nucleotide ribosomal RNA is filed under the name Danio rerio (zebrafish). Lineage: Eukaryota; Metazoa; Chordata; Actinopteri; Cypriniformes; Danionidae. The record is from RNAcentral.
AGCCACAGCCAUAUCACCCUGCAGCCCAAGACCGGUUACUCACUGAAGCUAAGCAGGGCUGAGCCUGUUCAGUUCCUGGAUAGGAGACCACAUGGGAAACCUAGGUUGCUGUUGGAA